GUGGGGAAUAUUGGACAAUGGGCGGAAGCCUGAUCCAGCAACGCCGCGUGAGGGAUGACGGCCUUCGGGUUGUAAACCUCUUUCAGUACCGACGAAGCGAGAGUGACGGUAGGUACAGAAGAAGCACCGGCCAACUACGUGCCAGCAGCCGCGGUAAUACGUAGGGUGCGAGCGUUGUCCGGAAUUAUUGGGCGUAAAGGGCUCGUAGGCGGUUUGUCGCGUCGGGAGUGAAAACACCGGGCUUAACUCGGUGCUUGCUUUCGAUACGGGCAGACUAGAGGUAUGCAGGGGAGAACGGAAUUCCUGGUGUAGCGGUGAAAUGCGCAGAUAUCAGGAGGAACACCGGUGGCGAAGGCGGUUCUCUGGGCAUUACCUGACGCUGAGGAGCGAAAGUGUGGGGAGCGAACAGGAUUAGAAACCCCUGUAGUCC
RNAcentral lists this ribosomal RNA (430 nucleotides) under uncultured bacterium. RNAcentral's name for it is "bacterial SSU rRNA". It matches the Rfam family "Bacterial small subunit ribosomal RNA", at positions 354 to 796 of the family's 1533-position model. The record is from RNAcentral.